Molecule: ribosomal RNA, 253 nt
Filed under: uncultured bacterium
Lineage: Bacteria
Description: partial 16S ribosomal RNA
Rfam family: Bacterial small subunit ribosomal RNA
Source: RNAcentral
UACGGAGGAUGCAAGCGUUAUCCGGAAUGAUUGGGCGUAAAGCGUCCGCAGGUGGCAAUGUAAGUCUGCUGUUAAAGAGUCUAGCUCAACUAGAUACAAGCAGUGGAAACUACAUAGCUAGAGUACGUUCGGGGCAGAGGGAAUUCCUGGUGUAGCGGUGAAAUGCGUAGAGAUCAGGAAGAACAUCGGUGGCGAAGGCGCUCUGCUGGACCAUAACUGACACUCAGGGACGAAAGCUAGGGGAGCGAAUGGG